Molecule: transfer RNA, 83 nt
Filed under: Muribaculaceae bacterium
Lineage: Bacteria; Pseudomonadati; Bacteroidota; Bacteroidia; Bacteroidales; Muribaculaceae
Description: tRNA-Leu
Rfam family: tRNA
About the family: Transfer RNA (tRNA) molecules are approximately 80 nucleotides in length. Their secondary structure includes four short double-helical elements and three loops (D, anti-codon, and T loops).
Source: RNAcentral
GCGCAUGUGGCGUAAUUGGUAGCCGCGUUAGACUUAGGAUCUAAUGUCUCAGGACGUGGGGGUUCGAGUCCCUUCAUGCGCAC